RNAcentral lists this ribosomal RNA (426 nucleotides) under Triticum aestivum (bread wheat). RNAcentral describes it as "partial small subunit ribosomal RNA". The record is from RNAcentral. Lineage: Eukaryota; Viridiplantae; Streptophyta; Magnoliopsida; Poales; Poaceae.
AUUAGGAAUUUCUGGUGGGGUGAUGAGGAGAAUAGGAGGAAGACUCAUUGGCUGGGUUGGGAUAAGAUGAAUAGGCCUAAAGGUGAGGGUGGUAUGGGAUUCCGGGACCUCGGAUUAUUUAAUUAGGCACUCCUGGCUAAGCAGGCUUGGAGGUUGGUGGUUAAUCCUGAAUCUCUAUGCGUCAAAGUGAUUAAGGUAAAAUAUUAUCCGCAUGGACAUAUCCUUGAUACGGUUUUGCCGCAGUCAGCUUCACUUACUUGGCAAGGUAUUCUGCAUGGUUUGGAUAUGCUUAAAUCCGGUGUCAUCUGGAGAGUGUGUGAUGGGUCUAAUAUUAAUAUCUGGAGAGAUAACUGGCUCCCAAGAUUUUCUAGACUUAAAAUUAUUGCCAAAAGAAUAGGACAAGAGUCAAAUGGGUACCAGACUUGA